Molecule: ribosomal RNA, 253 nt
Filed under: uncultured bacterium
Lineage: Bacteria
Description: partial 16S ribosomal RNA
Rfam family: Bacterial small subunit ribosomal RNA
Source: RNAcentral
UACGUAGGUGGCAAGCGUUGUCCGGAUUUACUGGGCGUAAAGGGCGUGCAGGCGGUCUGUUAAGUGCAGGGUGAAAGCUCCCGGCUCAACUGGGAGAGGUCCUUGCAUACUGGCGGACUUGAGGGGGGUAGAGGAAAGUGGAAUUCCCGGUGUAGUGGUGAUAUGCGUAGAUAUCGGGAGGAACACCAGUGGCGAAGGCGGCUCUCUGGGCCUUUCCUGACGCUGAGACGCGAAAGCGUGGGGAGCGAACCGG